This 253-nucleotide ribosomal RNA is filed under the name uncultured bacterium. RNAcentral's name for it is "partial 16S ribosomal RNA". It matches the Rfam family "Bacterial small subunit ribosomal RNA", at positions 524 to 776 of the family's 1533-position model. The record is from RNAcentral.
UACAGAGGGGGCAAGCGUUAUUCGGAAUUAUUGGGCGUAAAGGGCGCGUAGGCGGCGAUUCAAGUGACGGGUGAAAUCCCUCGGCUUAACCGAGGAACUGCCUGUCAGACUGGAUUGCUUGAGGCCGGGAGAGGCGAGUGGAAUUCCCAGUGUAGCGGUGAAAUGCGUAGAUAUUGGGAGGAACACCAGUGGCGAAGGCGGCUCGCUGGACCGGUUCUGACGCUGAGGCGCGAAAGCGUGGGGAGCAAACAGG